This 223-nucleotide ribosomal RNA is filed under the name Bacillus pumilus. RNAcentral describes it as "partial 16S ribosomal RNA". It matches the Rfam family "Bacterial small subunit ribosomal RNA", at positions 60 to 256 of the family's 1533-position model. Lineage: Bacteria; Bacillati; Bacillota; Bacilli; Caryophanales; Bacillaceae. The record is from RNAcentral.
GCGGGUGCUAAUACUGCAGUCGAGCGGACAGAAGGGAGCUUGCUCCCGGAUGUUAGCGGCGGACGGGUGAGUAACACGUGGGUAACCUGCCUGUAAGACUGGGAUAACUCCGGGAAACCGGAGCUAAUACCGGAUAGUUCCUUGAACCGCAUGGUUCAAGGAUGAAAAACGGUUUCGGCUGUGACAUACAAAUGGACCCACGGCCCAUUCCCUACUUGGUGGG